ACCUGCAGACACCCCCAAUUAUUACUUAAUUUUGCUUCAAAAGCUUAAUGUUUAUUGGGAGAAUAUUCCGGGAUUCACUUCCAUUUCCCCUGGAGAAUAAAUUUAGUCAACUGGAAUAGCUAAAACAGGAAUGUUCCAAAAAACCACCAAAAUAUGGAAAAUAUAAAAUGAAGUAUAUAGCAUGUCCUAGAAGGAAAAUAUCCCUUUUUGACAACAAAAUAAAAGAGUUACAGGUACACUCUUCACUUUCUCAUAACCAUAUCAAUCAAACACUACUUAUGUUGUCCACACUACCGUUAAAAAAGACAGUAACAUAACAUCAUCAUUAUCUGAAAUUCUACUUGUGCCACAGAUGUCACUACUGCUGGGCACACUGUACCCUCUGUGCACCACCAGGCAUAUCAUCAUCCUCAUCAUAUGCUUCCUGCUGAGCUUGUUGCUGCUUCCUCCUUGACUCCUCUUCCAUGUUCACGUCAUUGAGUGUGGUCUCCUCACAUUCAUCUAGCUCCAUGUCUGUUAAUUGUGAUGAAGGCUUUGGUGGCAGGACAGCCUCUAAAGCCUUAACCUGAUCGAGACUUAGAGAUUCAGGGAACUCCACGUUGAAGUGAAUGUAAAGCUUCCCUUUCAUGAAUGGCCUCUGAUACAAUGGCAUUCCUUCAUCGUUAAUUGCCUUGUAUGAAUCUGCAUACAUAAACAAGCAAAGCAUAAGAAACUCUUCUCUAGCACAUAAUUGAAUUGCUAUUUUAAUCACACAGCAAAAUUGAGCCAUGGGAAUGGCAGAUGAAACUAUUUUCAUACCAGGCUUAAUAACUUCACCAGGGUUGGAUUUGAUAAGGAGCUGACGGCCAUCCAAGUGAGACAGCACAAAUUGGAAGCCACACAAAGCAUCGGUGAGGGACAAAGUGUGCUCCACAAUGAGAUCUUCGGCCUUUCUCUUGAACUUGGGAUGUUCCUUCUGCUGAAGCACAAAGACAAUAUCCCCAGUAACUGUGUCUGGCUGCAAAAACACAAACAGCUCCAAGUCAGUCUAAUUUCAUCUAUCGAAGCAAAUUAAUGUCAAUUAACACCAAUACUCGCAACAUACCGCUUCAUCGGCUUCACCAGGGAAUGUAAUCUUCUGGCCAUUCUGCAUCCCCUUCUCCACAAUAACUUCAAGUACUUUCUUCUCUUGAACAACCUUUUCUCCCUUGCACUGAGGGCAGCGGUCCCUGUCAUUGAUGAUGUCCUAUUUCAUCAUUUUCUAUAAAAAUAUUUCUAAAACAAAACAAAAUAAUACACAUGUCAUACUUGUAUUGACCAGAUGAGAUAAGUUAUUUCAUUGUAUGAGGAGUUUAUUGUCUUAAAAUAAAGGGUGAAAAAUGAAAAAUAAAUAGAAAAAGUAGAUUAAAAAAUGGAGAGAUUACCCGAAGAAGCUGAGAUCUUGAAGUUAGCCGGGUUACCACUGACAACAGGAUUUGGUGAUAUUUCAAUUCCAGACACUUUCACAUCAUAAUUUCCCUUCUUAUCUGCAUAUACAUUUUUUUAGCAAACAAAUAAAUAGACAAAAAAUUACCAAAAUCUAAAUCAAAUCUGAACAAACAUGACCCCAGCUUCCAGCACUGAAGCACACACAUGACACCACAAAAUCACACAAAAAUUAAACUCAACUUAAUAGAAAUCCACUACAUAAGAGUCAAAUCAACUACAUAAGAGUCAAAUCCACUAAAAUCCCUCAGAAUUGAAGAACUAUGCAAUUUCAUAAAAAUGAAAUUAAAGAAACACAGUAUAAGAUCCUAAUGUUGAGUUUAAGGAGAUUAAAUCCCACAAUAAAAAAUAUAAAAUUAAAAUAGUAAUAAAAAGAGUGAAAGGUAAGGGUGGAAGUACCGCAGUAUUUGAAGGUAACCUUAGCUUGAGCGAGAAAAGAAGAGAGGAAGAGGAUUGAGAAGGAUAGAAUAAGGUAGAGGUUGGGAAGAGAGUGAAAUGCCAUCGAUUGCACGAAGAUGAAGAAGAAGAAGAAGAACAACGGAGAGAGUUUAUGCUAACUGUUCUUACUAAACUCCAACACCAAACAUACACAUAGUCAAAUAAGAAUAUUAAUAAUUAUUUCAAAGUUAAACAAUGUGAGGAUGGGAGAAUAAGACUAGUCUCAGUCUCUUAUUAUUAAUUUGAGUAUUUAAUAAGUAAUUAAUCUCUAGGCAUUGUUCUGAAUUAAAAAUUUGACAUUUUGAAUCUUUGAUAUAUGAAAUAAUAUACAUAUAAAUCUUUGAUAUAUGAAAUAAUAUACAUAUAAAUCUUUGAUAUAUGAAAUAAUAUACAUAUAAAUCUUUGAUAUAUGAAAUAAUAUACAUAUAAAUCUUUGAUAUAUGAAAUAAUAUACAUAUAAAUCUUUGAUAUAUGAAAUAAUAUACUUAUAAAUAUUUUGUUAUUAAGCAUAUAUUGUGUUAUUGUGGUAGGAGAGGAGCGUGAAUAAAUCUGAUGUUGAAUUAAUCUCGUUUAUUGAUUUGUAGCCACAUUCUCCCAUAGAUAGCAGCUAAGUUAAGGACUUCAUAUCUUUAUUCACCAUCAAGUAUUUAUGGUAGAGACUAGAGUGCAUAAAACUCAUUUUUUUUAAGUUUUUUACUGAACUAUUUUUUCUUCAAAUGCCUCUUAAAUUUUAUAUGUUAAUUAAUAAAAUUAACAUGUAUAAAUUUUAUUAUUAAUAUGACAAGAAAGAAACUGAUAUUAUCAGGAAGAGCAAUGCAAUAAUGGAUGUUAACCCAAUAAUGAUGAUUUGAAGAAAACCAGUAUCAAAAUAUAAAUAAUUUGAGAAAAUAAUAAAUAAAUUGAGUUAAAAUGUGUCACACAAUAAUAUUAAUAUAUAAAAAGUAAAAUUAAAUAAUAGGUUAAAAUAAAAUAGAUGUAUCAAGGCCAAAUUUCAUCAACAAUUAAGAUUUAGAGAUAAUUAGAAAGAGAAAUAGAUGGUAUUUAAGCUACGGGUGCUGGGACCUCUCUUGCAUAACAUGAAAAUUUAAUUUAGAACAAAACCUUCUUUAACGGAAUUUUUAAUUGAAAAAAUCAUUCGAAAAUAAUUGAUUUUUUUUCUUGAAGAUGGAACAUAAUGUAACUUUGAAAUACUGUUUAAUGAAGAAGAAGAAAAUCAUCUAUAUCGGAAUAUAUAAGAAUUGAAGAUAACUUAUUUCCUAAAAAAUAUGAGAAAUAAUUUAUUUCAACCAGUAAAAGUAUACUAUUUUAUAUUAUUUUAAAAAUAUUUUCAUAAAAAUAAUAAAAUAUAACAUUGUGUUAUGGUCCUUAUAAGAAGAGAGUAUUAUUCUCUAAGCACCUGCAGACACCCCCAAUUAUUACUUAAUUUUGCUUCAAAAGCUUAAUGUUUAUUGGGAGAAUAUUCCGGGAUUCACUUCCAUUUCCCCUGGAGAAUAAAUUUAGUCAACUGGAAUAGCUAAAACAGGAAUGUUCCAAAAAACCACCAAAAUAUGGAAAAUAUAAAAUGAAGUAUAUAGCAUGUCCUAGAAGGAAAAUAUCCCUUUUUGACAACAAAAUAAAAGAGUUACAGGUACACUCUUCACUUUCUCAUAACCAUAUCAAUCAAACACUACUUAUGUUGUCCACACUACCGUUAAAAAAGACAGUAACAUAACAUCAUCAUUAUCUGAAAUUCUACUUGUGCCACAGAUGUCACUACUGCUGGGCACACUGUACCCUCUGUGCACCACCAGGCAUAUCAUCAUCCUCAUCAUAUGCUUCCUGCUGAGCUUGUUGCUGCUUCCUCCUUGAC
This 3751-nucleotide long non-coding RNA is filed under the name Lupinus angustifolius (narrow-leaved blue lupine). RNAcentral describes it as "long non-coding RNA (LANG_LNC001454)". The record is from RNAcentral. Lineage: Eukaryota; Viridiplantae; Streptophyta; Magnoliopsida; Fabales; Fabaceae.